GCCUACAAGCAGCCAUCCAGUCACAACACAAACCAGGAAUCUCAACGCAGAACAGCAGAGCCUAAUGCAUUUAAAGCUACCGGUGGCUCCAAUCACAGCACCUAACUCAUAACGAUGGGCUGGCAUCCGUUCUUUUGGCAUCCAGGAACAUUAGAAUAUGCAGAGAGGCUAGGAAGACAGAGUGCGACAGUCC
Molecule: long non-coding RNA, 193 nt
Filed under: Cavia porcellus (domestic guinea pig)
Lineage: Eukaryota; Metazoa; Chordata; Mammalia; Rodentia; Caviidae
Description: lncRNA (ENSCPOG00000034858.1)
Source: RNAcentral